This is an RNA transcript of Fragaria vesca subsp. vesca, 1024 nucleotides long. RefSeq lists it as uncharacterized. The record is from RefSeq and is a predicted model, not a curated record. Lineage: Eukaryota; Viridiplantae; Streptophyta; Magnoliopsida; Rosales; Rosaceae. The transcript has 2 exons.
GUUGAACAAACGCAUUGUCACAUUGAUCUAACAGAUACAGACUACAAAUGAAUGACUGCCAAAUGUAAUGUAUGGUCUAACGUCUAACCGAACAAUGUAGAGUUUCAAACUAUCUUAAACUGAAAGUCCCAACAAUGGUUGAUGACAAAUUCAAAGGUGUAAAUAGUUGAUACAUUCGAACACGCUUCUUCUUCAAGCAAUCUUCUUCUUCCAGCUUUCACAUUUUUAUUCUUGCAACACAAUCUUCACUAACGAUCACAAGAGAUCAAUGAAGGUCAACACUCAACAGUAUCCAUGAAACCCAAUUAGCACAGAUCAAAUUCCGGCUCCGGUUCCGGUUCCGCAUUCAAAUCAAAGUCCACAUUCUCCUUCUUCUUAGUCUUGGCCUUCCCUUUGACGCCGUCUGCCUCCUCGUUUCUCUCAAGCAUUGCCCUCAAACCUCCGUCCACAAAUUUACUUCCACCGCCGACGUCAGCGCUCUUGAAGUAGCUGACUGCCACUUGUAUGUUCCUGAUAAUAGCGAAGAACUCCUCAACCUCGUCGUCGUUCGCUGCCGGCGCCUUCUUAUGCUUUUUCCUCCCGGAAACGACGUCAUUGCCGGCCUGCUCUCUCUUUUCUGCCUCCAUUGUUUUCAGUUGCCUGUUUUACAAUGAGCGACGUUCGACGUAUCGUAAAGAUUGGAGGGGACGUUCCACCUCUGAUAGCGCCGUGAAGAUAGUGACCCGCAAGCGGUCCAAUAGCAUCGCGAGGCGUGGAGCAACUCUGAUCACUUGUUUCGCGGAGACUUUUUCUUCGGUGAUUGCGUUCCUGUGACGUCGGUGCAAAUAUAAUAAUGGGCUCUUUGAGACCUUAAGCAUGACCAAUGGGCCUGCUUGAGAGUUUUUAGGCCCAAAAAGUCCAGCAGCAGAGCCUCCCUACCUCUAGAAAACGAGGUUUCGCAUCUGGAAUUCUCAGCACGUACAUUUCUUUAUUCAUUGCCAAAUCCAAGUAUCAAUUUAUAUACAAAUACACAAGUGCGUAAGGG